This 12651-nucleotide long non-coding RNA is filed under the name Linum usitatissimum (flax). RNAcentral's name for it is "long non-coding RNA (LUSI_LNC007010)". The record is from RNAcentral. Lineage: Eukaryota; Viridiplantae; Streptophyta; Magnoliopsida; Malpighiales; Linaceae.
GUGCUAUACUCUUUACAUUCCUACUUUCACUGCUUUAUGGUGCACCCUUGGCAUACAAUGCUCCUUCACUUCAGAAUUGAAGUCCUGCCUCUCUAACUGAAAGAUCUCAUGAUACCCUUUCGGCAGGUGUUUGAUAAAGACAUCGGCCAAGACAAGCGAUUGGGAAUCGUGAAGUUACCGCUCGUUGAUCUCGAAGCAGAGUCUUGGAAAGAUAUGGAGUUGAGACUUUUGCCGGCGCUUGAUAUGAUGAAAAUUAAAGAUAAGAAGGAUAGAGGAACUCUUACGCUGAAGGUCAGACUCUUUUGAAUCCUCCCUCUGUCUUUUUGGCUAUAGAGCUGACAUCAGACAACCAACCUGCCUUUUAUUCGUAGGGGGUCCUUACAUCUUAAGGAAGUUGCCCUGGGCCCAAAACCAGCCUUUUCCCAGUACUAGAUUUAAGUAUAAAUUGAUAGCUAUUGGUAGUUCGAUCUAGUGAUGACGUUGAAUGAAAUAAUAUAAAUUUAGGUGAAUGAGUGAAUCAAUUCAAAAUUUGCAUUAGUUGAUAACCGAGAAUUUACUACAAUUUAAACCAAAUUAUACAUUGUUGAUCUCGAAGCAGGGUCUUGGAAAGAUAUGGAGUUGAGACUUUUGCCGGCGCUUGAUAUGAUGAAGAUUAAAGAUAAGAAGGAUAGAGGAACUCUUACGCUUAAGGUCAGACUCUUUUGAAUCCUCCCUCUGUCUUUUUGGCUAUAGAGCUGACAUCAGACAACCAACCUGCCUUUUAUUCGUAGGGGGUCCUUACAUCUUAAGGAAGUUGCCCUGGGCCCAAAACCAGCCUUUUCCCAGUACUAGAUUUAAGUAUAAAUUGAUAGCUAUUGGUAGUUCGAUCUAGUGAUGACGUUGAAUGAAAUAAUAUAAAUUUAGGUGAAUGAGUGAAUCAAUUCAAAAUUUGCAUUAGUUGAUAACCGAGAAUUUACUACAAUUUAAACCAAAUUAUACAUACAUGGAUCCAAAAAGUAUAAGAAAUUUAGUGUUGGAACAUAAUUUCGAAUAUUUAAAUGAUUUUUAAGUAGUGUUGUGAGAUUUUCUGGGUGAAAUUCAGGGCGUUGAUGUAACAUAUCCAUCAUUCAUAAUUAAACGAGUUUCAGAAACACCAAACAAAUCGUACAAUAACUAAUAAGGGAGGGAUGGAUCGUUAAGCUCAAUAGAAUAGAAUCUUAGAGACGAAGAAUGACCUCUAUUAGCUACCAUGUCAAUGUAAGUUUUACUUUACGGUAUUAUUUUUUCUAUACAUGAUCCCUCUUAUUUAGUUAUUUGUCCUACAUUCGUGGCAUCACAACCCACUUGGUAUUAUUUCCCCUGGCAAAGGUACUGUACCACGAAUUCAGCAAAGAGGAGCAGAUGGCUGCUUUGGAGGAGGAGAAGAGGGUCUUAGAAGAAAGGAAGAAACUGAAAGAAGCAGGAGUAAUAGGGAGCACAAUGGACGCCCUCGACGGUGCAGCUUCGUUAGUUGGCACGGGUCUAGCCGGAGGGGCUGGGCUCGUGGGGAGCGGCAUUGGAGCCGGAGCUAACCUGGUAGGAAGCGGGGUGUCGGGUGGGGUUGGCAUGGUUGGGAGUGGGCUUAGCAAAGCUGGAAAGUUCAUGGGGAGGACGAUUACUGGUCAGAGCAGCAAGAGGAGUAGCUCUAAUUCUUCUACCCCCACCGGUCAGGAAAACGGCGCAGGAAAGCAGCUCUAGAUGAAGAGAGUAUUUUGCAGGGUACGUACUCUUUCGCCUCUCUGCUCAAAUGUGUGUACGAUUGUGUUGUUUUCUGUUGGAUUUGGAUUCUUGUGUGCCAAAUGUUAGUAGAUAUGGAUGAAUGUUUUAACCAACAUUCUGUACAAAAAAAAAAAAGAAAUAAUUUGAUUGCGCUCGCUAAAAUAUUAUCCACUUUUCUCGUGGACCUUUUGCUUUGGUAUAGUUAGUUGAUUGGAUUGCUUUCUGUAGUCUUUGUUUGUUUUUACUUUAUAGAUUAAACAUAAGGAGGGUUAAUUAAACAAACUAAUUUAAGGAUGUAAGACAGAUCGAUUAAUCAAAUACACAAAGCACCAUUAAAACUAAGUAAAGGCAGGCCAGGCCAGGCCGACAAGGCGUGAGCUUAGAGUGGGGGAAUCAAGCUGGUUGGGUGGUGAAGUCACGUGAUCUCAUCACCAGUUUUAGUUUCCUUGGGGCCACAGCUUCACGUUUCCUUUUUUUCGAGGACGGGAUUCUGGAUUCCUGCCAAAUAAAUAAGUCAAAUUUACAGGCUUGAAAUUUACCCAACUUGUGAAAUUAGUAGAGAGAGAACGUCCCUUUCAUCGUUCUAAGAUUGAGGUCAAACCUCCAAUUGGCGGCAGCAGUUGACUCAACAGUCUUCUCCAUCUGUUGCCUCUCAUGAAUGUCAAACACUAUAUAAUUUAGAUGGUGACGUAAAUGGGCCGGCUUGGUUUACUUCAGCCCUAAUUCAAUAAAUUUAUAUUAUAUAGUUUGAUUGUAAUCUAAUUAACGUUAACCUUUCCUAUGUGUUUCGGAAAGACAACUUGUUUGGCUCAUACAAGUUAUUUUGGUCGUAAAAGAAAACAUUACAACUGCUUUGUUAUAACUAAAGAUAUUAGUUACUCGGUUGUUAAUUUUGUUAAUGUUAGUGAUCUACGUGUGAUUUGAGAAGACAUUCUUCAUGGUUAAGAAACCACAAGUGCCAAGGACAUACAUACAUACAUAGGCCAACUAGGCACAAUGGUCAAAGGCAAAAGGUUGCGUGAAAAGCUGUUUCGACCCGUGAACCGACUUAGAACCCCAUUGGCCAAACCAAACCUUGAUACCCCCGUGGUUUCAUAACUUUGUCAACCCGGAGAGAGAGAGCACAAAUAUCAUCAUCAUGCUCAUUGAGCCACGUGACCCAUUUCUCUGUCUCUGUACUCCCUGUCGCCCUACAUAAAAUAUUGUUACCAGUUCUUCCCAAGUCAAAGAGAUAGCUGUAAAAAUGGAUGUAACCAACUCCUAAUUUCCCCGGUGAAAUUACUCGAAAAUAGACAAUAAUACCUUCACAUGACAGUUAAGAGAUGAAACCCUCACUGCCCAACCAAAACACGCCACGUAUCCGUCUCCUCCCCUGCCUCUCUCACGUGCCUCUGUCACCCACCACAUUCCUUUCCUCCUCCCUCCUUCUUCAGUCCUUAUCCUUCACUCACUCGCUCACUCCCCAACACAAACCAGCAGCUGGAGACAGAGAGAUAGAUUUUUUUACUUCUUCAUGAAGCCCUGAAACUGUCACCUCCACUUUCCCUAAUAUUUACGCACCAUGCCAUCCCGCCUUCUCCUCUCUCUUCCUUCGCCGGAGCAUCACCACCGUACACACCACCACAACCACCUCCCUGCAAUCCUCGCGGGAUCAUUGGCUUUCGCUCUCAUCUCCCUCCUCUUUCUAUUCGUCUUCCUCUACCGUAAGCUCUCCCGCCACCGCACCGCCCCAACUUCUUCUUCUUCUUCAGACCUCAAAUCGCCCACUCAUCUCCAAACCACCAACAAAUGCCGUCACUUCUCUUACUCUCUCCUCCGCCGCGCCACUGCUUCUUUCUCCACCUCCAACCGCCUCGGCCACGGCGGCUUCGGUUGCGUCUACAAAGCCGUCCUGUCCUCUUCCUCCUCGCUCGCCGUCAAGGUCAUGGACCCAAACGGCUCACUGCAAGGCGAGCGAGAGUUUCACAACGAACUCUCCAUCGCAUCAUCUCUCGACUCGCCCUACAUUGUCAGCCUCCUUGGCUACUCUACCGACCGCCGGAAGCGGAAGCUGGUGCUCGUGUACGAGCUGAUGGAGAACCGGAGCUUGCAGGAGGCUCUGAUGGAUCGCAAGUGCGAGGAGCUCAUGGACUGGAGCAAGCGGUAUAGUGUGAUGACUGAUGUUGCUAGAGGCUUAGAGUACCUCCACCAUUUCUGUAACCCUCCCGUGAUUCACGGCGACGUUAAGCCCAGCAAUAUCUUGCUGGAUUCGGAUUUCAACGCCAAGAUCGGCGAUUUCGGCCUCGCUAGAUUGAAGACGGAGGAAAUCGCCGAGUGCGCCGUCGGAGAAGACAACGGAUCUAUUCUGGAGGAGGCGGCGGAGAGUGUUGCAGCGACGACUGGAUACGAAGACAGCUCCACCACCGCGGCAGCAGGUGUCGAUCAAUCGCCGGUGAGUUUGUCUAGUAAGGUUUUGGAUUCGGAUGCGUCGCCGGAGGCGGCGGCGAGGAGCAUGUCGGAGGCGGAUCGAGUGAGUAUGGAGAGUGGGAGAGAUUUGGAGAAUGGAGGAGGAAAGAAAGGUGGAUCGAGAAGGGAUUGGUGGUGGAAGCAGGACAAUGGAGUUGAAUCGGAGUCUGGAAGAGUGAAGGAUUACGUAAUGGAAUGGAUUGGGAGUGAGAUCAGUAAAGAGAAUAGAUCGAAACCUGGAUGGAAUAAUCUCGAAUCCCCAAGCUCCGUCGAUAACAGUCUUUUGACGACGACGACGAGCUUAAAGAUCGAGAAGAAGAAGAAGAUAAGGAAGCGAUUGGAAUGGUGGGCGUCUCUAGACGAAGAGAGGAGGAUGAAGAAAAAGGAAAAGAAUCGGAAACCUAGAGAAUGGUGGAAGGAAGAGUUCUGCGACGAGCUAACAAAGAAGAACGGGAAGAAGAAGAAGAAGAAAAGCAACGGCGGAGGAGAGUCAUGGUGGCAGAAGGAUGAAGAUUCAGAUUGGACUACUUCGACGACGGCGACUAAGAAGAAGAGGAAAAGCAGAGGGAGCAUUGACUGGUGGAUGGACGGAUUAAGCGGCGAAUUCAGAAGGAGGAACAGCAGCAGCCACGAUUGGGCAAGCGGCGAAAUCCCAAAGAGCGGCGGGAUAAGCAGCACCCCUAGCAUGCGAGGAACGGAGUGCUAAGUCGCGCCGGAGUACGGCGGCGGAGGAGCUGGAUGCCAGCUGUCGGAGAAGUGUGAUGUUUACAGCUUCGGCGUGUUGCUACUCGUGGUGGUUUCAGGGCGUAGGCCGCUCCAAGUUACGGCAUCCCCCAUGUCCGAAUUCGAGAGAGCUAAUCUGAUCUCGUGGGCUAGGCAGCUAGCUCACAACGGCAAGCUAUUGGAUCUCGUUGAUCCUUUGAUACAUUCGUUGGAUAAACACCAAGCAUUGCUUGUUAUUACGAUCGCAUUGCUUUGCCUGCAGAGAUCGCCUAGCAAGCGGCCGUCCAUUAAGGAGAUCGUGGAGAUGCUCUCCGGCGAGGCCGAUCCACCGCAUUUGCCUUUCGAGUUUUCGCCCUCUCCGCCGUCCAAUUUCCCGUUCAAGUCAAGGAAGAAAGCUCACCGGUGAGUAGUUAAGUUGCUUACUGUAGUCUGUGUGUCUCUCUGUAUCUUGUCUUUUGUACAAGUUAGUUGCCAUUAUUGAAUUCAAUACAGGAAAUCAGGAUUCUUCCACCAUUACUUUCUCAUCUGAGUUUUGACCUCUGCUACUCGAAUCCAAUGACUAACAGUAGACGUAGAGAGUAAAACCUUUUACUGACAAAGUGCUUAAAGCUCAUAUCUUUGCUCAAGUGCUUAAAGCUAGUGAUAGUCAGCUUUAGCACUGACUUUAAUGGUGCUCUAAAGUUGCAUGAAAUUCAGUACAGCAAGCUGCAAAAUCAUCAUGGCUGGCUGGGUGGGAAAAUGAUUCUGCUCUCUGCAGUCACAUUGCACAUUAUGGUUUUCAUUUGUCACUAAUGUUUGUGCCUCCUGGGUCCCAUCCAUGGAUGCUCUUAGUAGCACUGAUUAUGGAGGCAAUAAAAGCCAUCAUCAAUCAAAAUCAAAAGCUACCUCAAAUUGCAGAUAAUGGUUGGUUCCUUUUCCUUCCCUUUUGCAUUGAUGUGUUUGCUUAAAUGAUUGCUGAGAAUGCUUCAUUUCUACGAAACUUGUAAUGAAAUGAAGAUCCCCACUGGUUUAGUUUUGGGACAGACGCUAAUAAGCUUAUCUUUGUGUUCAUGAACCUGUUCACUGUUCAGCUUCUGGUUUCGGAUUGAUUUGUUGAAAAGACAGAGACUUGCUGCCUGAAAUAUAAGAUAAGCUUAUAUCCAACUCGUAAUUACUUGAGAAAACCUUGCAAGUUGUGAUGUUUCUCCCCCAUUUCUACUGCGUUCCUGCUUGGUGAGAAAUGUUUAGCCGUGUGUCGUUUUCUUUUCUGUAUAUUCUCGGCAUUGGUAGGCGGAUCUUUCUAGGCAGAUAGGUCUGAGAAUUGGUUAUUAAUUAUCGAUCAAUUUGGUUAUUAAUCGUCUCUUUUGGUCGGUUAACUGCCUUAGCCGAUUGGAUUUGGUUGGAGAACCGAUCAUUAACCGACCAUCAUGGUUAUAACCGUUGGUAAAUUGAAAGACCAAUUUAACCGAUUGGUUAAUAUCACAAUUGUGGUAGUUUCUAUUGAAUUUGGGGUAAUUUACUUAGGAUUUGGGGAUAAUGUCACUUUUCUUAACCGACAAUUUAACCGUUUUAAUAGAUUAUCUGAUUUCAUCAAAUGUGUAGAUCGUUUCAUCGACCGAUCUAAUUUUGGUUAAACUGUUUUAACCAGUUAACCAAACCAAGAAGCCAGCCCUAGUAAGAUAGACAUACUAAUUUUGUAUGUCACCCAAAAGUCAAAACCACCUGUUACAUUCAUCUCUGCUUACCCAUUAAAGAAUGGAGUGGACCAACUCAGGACAUCAACGGUCCGGAUCUCCUGAUUUUAGAGGGACAAAAUCGUAAAUUUUGAAACUUGAAGUAAAUUUUAUAUUUGCUAGCAACUGUACAUAAAAUCUUAUCUAGAGUCCGACUAUUUUAGAAUCUGCCGUUGUCAUCAUCCACCAUAACAUGAGCAUGCAUCAUCUUUCUAAGUGGCGUUCCGGUAAAAAAGAAGGUUAGCAUAUCUCCAAGCUCCAAUUCAAAGUUGGGUUAGCUGACGGCGACCCGCCCAGCUCCGUAAUGGCACAGAUAGUGGAAUUUCCGGCCGCUCCCCACGAGCUAUAUCAACGCUGGUUACCUCCCCCGCCUAUUGUGUCAAUUUGUUUUUGGGUUUGGAGUUUAUAGUUUUGAUUUACUAUAAUCGCUAUUUUUUGUUGGUUUCUUUAGUUUUAUUUAUUUAUAUUCAGCGAGUAUUUGUGCCGUGUCUUGAGUAUUUUUUUAUCUGUCGUAUUAUUUAAAAUUGUGAUUUGUGAAGAUUAAAACCGCAAGAAUUAACUGUUUCUCCUUUACGCUCCGUAUGCGGGAAGCUCCUUGCGUAAUGGAACGCGGUGCGUUGAAUAGGCAAACAUUAGGAUGUUUUUUCUUUUGUGAUUAACUAUUGCCAUGUUUUAUUGUUUCUCAUACUGUUAUAGUUUCCUUGAUUUCUGAUAAUAGAAAGAUUACCACUAUUUCUUCUAUCAUUACUUCUCUCAUCCACGUCUGUUUAGUGGCCUAAAUAUAAAAUAUGGGAAUUGAUGUAAGACAUCCUACUUUUUAUUAUCCUAAAUAUAAAAUAUGGGAAUUGAUGUAAGACAUCUUAUUUUUUAUUAUCUUAAAUAUAAAAUAUGGAAAUUAAUGUAAUACAUCCUAUUUUUUAUUAUCCAAAACGCACUGACAUUUGAAUUCAAUAAGUAAAAUUACGUGAUGUCCUUUAAACCUAAUGUUUAAAUACACACAUGACGUAACUCAAAUCAAACACACUAUCUAAUUCGAAUCUCUCAGCUCUCUGAAAUACAAUCCUCUUCUCCUAAGAGUUGGGCCACAGCCAGCCGUCGCUUGCUCGCCAUCUCCAGCCACUCGCCGCCGCCGCUCGCCUCACACGGCCCCACCCGCUGGAAGCUGCCAACACUCUGUCGCCGCCGCCGCUUCCUCUACUCUCAUAUCCGUCGCAAGUCCGCCCCAAGCCGCCGCCUGUCGUUGAGGUACGAGAUUCAAAAAAAAGUAAGGACAGUCGCCAUUGGGAAAAAAAUUUGUUGUAGGCAAGAUUAAAUCAGAAAUUACGUAAAUAAUCAAGUCAAAAAGUAAAUUACUCAAUUUGGCAAUUCCCGUGACUUACAACGCGUCGCGCGUCGUAGGAAUAUGUUUGUCAACGUUUAUUGUUUACAGUUUCCUAUGUUGUGUGUUGCAAUUAAUUUCAACUUCACGUACUUGUGCUAAGGUUUAGGUGAGUGUGUAAUCAGGGUAGUGUUGCUUUAAUUUCAAUCCAUUUCAAGUGUUGCUUUAAUUUCAAUCCAUUUCAAGGGUUGUUUUAAUUUCAAUCCAUAAAAGUCAUAACACCAUACAAGUGGUAACAACAAACAAGUAGAAACAUCUAUCAAUAACAUUAGUCAUAACACCAUAAUAAUACAACCAUAAUGAACCCAUACAUACAAGCAUACCACAAUCAUAAUAAUAUGAGAAGUCCCUAAACCAAAAACACAAUCUACAAGCCUCCCUCUCCAGGCCUCCAAUGAGCUACUCUGGGAUGGUCUUCGGUGUCGCACAUGGCCUACCGAGGGUUGGUUCGUAACCCAUGUCGAAGGUCCCUCCGAGGUGCUGUGUCCUCCUCCCUCUGUCUGACUAUCUGCUCCUUGAACGUCAUCGUCUCGAACUGAGAGUCCGGAUGCUGUGUCUCACCGGCCCACUGUGGGUGUGAGCUGCUGGCUUCAUCGUGACCCAUCUGGGAAACCACUGCACGGACGGAGGUGGCUGGGACCACUGCUGUGAUGGAGGUGGCUGAGACCACUGUUGAGGCUUCAUCGUCGACUGGUACUGCGGGUCGCGAAAGGCAGACAUAUCGGGUAUCUAUGCCCGCGGUACGAACUCAGCCUCGUGGGUCCUCCGGCGUCGGGCACGUCUGGUCGGGAGGAUAGCCUCGGACUCAGUAGAUUAACAGCGUACAAGUCGUAAGCCUUGUAGAUCAGUACGGUGGGGGCCAUCAGUAGGUCACACCCCGAGUCAUCAAGCUUACGCUUCAUACCUCCGCUCUCGUACAUCAUGGAACGCAGACACUACUGAACCGCAUCGGUGUCCUCUCAGCCGAGCUGCUCCUGUGAACCUACCCGGACAGAUAGGUUCUCCAACCCGUCAAUCUGCAAAAUGAAAAAGAAAAUAUGUUAUCGUUGCAUGAUGCGGGAAGCCCACUAAUCGGAGGGGUGCUAGAGUACGUACGAUGGACUGUUGCACUGUCCCACGUCUCGAAGUCUACCGACGAGUGUACUGACGGUACCACACCAUGUACUCGUCGUGGCAGUGCCACCUCUCCGGAUCGUCGAGAAACGCACUUUUUGACACGUGGUCCAAUAUGAUCCCCCCAUUGGACAAGGUACUGAUCCACUCUCACGUCUCACGCGUGCCCGUUCAUCCUCGUUAGUCCGAGCAAGAACAUGACCUAUCCCUCCACAUAUCCACAGUGGGGAUGGGCUGGGACAUCCCAAACUGUCCGACGACAUGGUCUGGCCAGUGCCAAGAGAUGUUGUGAGGUAAAAUCAGUUGGGCAACGACCUUGUGUGUCGCCGGAGAGUGUGUCGAAUUUACACAGCUGCGGAAGGGGGCCUAGUGGAAGACAAAGAAAGUAUAAAUACAAAUAACAUCCUAAAAAGGGAUUACUAAAAAGAAACAGAAUGACACACUAGCUCUUACCACGAACGAGGUGCCCUCAUCGAACAGUUGUCUUUAUUCUGGAAGCAAGAGGCCACGAGUCCUCUCGUGCAUCUAGUUCUUCCACUAAUAUAGACAGGUGUUUCCAAUAAUCCCGACGCAUCUGGACCUCCGAGCAUGUCCUCAUGCAAUCACUGUGAUAUGAUUGGGGACCUCUCUAGUGCCCAAUCUGUAAGCAGCACGUUCCAACCACUGAUGUCACCCGCCCCCUUUGUACUAAAAGACUCCAACCUAAACGUUGACGACCGAGCUCCCGAUAGAGCAACGACAGAACCGCUACCCUCAAGCGAACGACAUCUCUUCUUGCAACCCUAACAGGUACGGUAGGUGGACGUAAGCAGCUGAUCUAUCCGUGAACAGGAACCACCUAUGCACGCCAGCAUGUAUGCCCGUGUGUACUGUCCCAACGUACGACCGUUGUCGGCGGGAAUGCGCUCCGGCUUCUUGAACGUGGAGUGCAACCACCCAAGCCUCAGUCGUCCGUCCUAUAAGACCUCAUUCACCAUCGGCCUCGCUCCCAAAUCCUCCUAUACUAAGUCUAGCAUCUACGGUCCAGAACGCUCGAGAGGGUAGUACAGCGGAUCACCGUCGACUGGAAAAUCAGUCAACAUCGCCACGUCCUCCAGAGUCAACGUGCACUCCCCAUGGUAUAUCAUUAAAGUGUUCGUCUUCGGCCUCCACCUCUCGACCAGCGCCGUCACAAGAUGCGGAUUCGAUGAAAGGGUCGCAGGAUCAAUAAUUGGUAAGAGUCCGACAGCCUCUAGCAAAGGGUGGAAGUAGGGAUGGUAUGGGGGAUGUGAGACAUCCUACGACACGAGAGGGUAAUGCUAGGUUCCUAUUCGGUAUUGUAGGUAGUGAUCAUUAGUAUCUAACUCAUUAAUUAAGUACCUAAUAUGUACUAAUAAAUAAUGAAUCUAAAAUAUUAUGAAUUUUUAUUAGUAUCUAACAUAGUAUUAGGAAACUAUAAAUAUUUUCUACCAUUAGGGAUAAGCACACUAAUUCCUUCUAACACUAGGCAUAAGCAAGUAUUAAUAUUUUCUAACAUUAGGCAUAAUGAAGUACUAACAUUUUUAAUAUUAGGCAACAUUAUUUAACACUUGGCCGUUAUUAAUAUUCUCUACAUAUUAUUCAAAUGGUACCAACCUCAUUGUCAAAAAUUUCAUCGGCUCGAUGUCGGUUGCGCUCGCCCCAAAGUAGUUCUGCAUCGAUCGACUCGGGGUUGACGCACGGAGGUAUCGGUCCAUACAAUUAAUCCAUCCUACAACGAAAAAAUAUUGUAGGGAACAAAUUGAGAAAAUUACUAAAAAAUAACUAAUAUUACCGACUAGUUGAUUGCGGAAAAAGAAUUUACUUCUCGGUAUUGAAAAACCAAAGAAUGAAGAAAUAGAGAAUUAGUGAAUGUGGAGGAAUGAAGAAGGGGAGGAGGGGUAUUUAUAGAAUCCGUUGGAGGCUAUCUACAACGCGUCGCGCGUCCUAGGAUGUGUGGCGCAUUGGAGGCUACCUACAACGCGUCGCGCGUCCUAGGAUGCGUCGCGUGUUGUAAGUCAGGGGAAUUGUCAAAUCAUGUAAUUUACGUUUCAACUUGAUUAUUGAUGAAAUUUCCGAUUUAAUCUUGCCUACCAAAAAAAUUCCGUCGCCCUUGAAAAUUAGUAAUUAGUCAUGCUAAUUAAUGUGAAUUAGUAAAUAUUAGUAACAAUUCAUUUGGAAAUUAAUACUUGAUAAUUGAAUAUCUAUUUAAUUAAUACUUAAAAAUUAGUAAUUAGUUAUGAUAAUUAAAGUUAAUUAGUAAAUAAAAACUUAGAAUUUAGUAAUUAAUUCAUGUUAAUUAAGGUAAAUUAGUAAAUACAAAUUUAGGAUUACAAUGUAAUUAGUGUAAUGAAAAUUUUAUUUAAUAAACUAUUUUCAAUUAGUAAUUAGUCAUCAUAAUUUAGAUGAAUUAUUAAUUUUAAAUUUUAAAUUGAAUGUUUAUUUCAAAAGUAGGGUUUAGUGUUAGUUUUCUAAUUAAUAGUUAUGAUUUAAAUUGCAUAUAUGGUUGGAAGCGAUGUCACAUGGAGAUCAUCGUUUGUCGCGGUUUAUCGAUUACUCUAUUUCUGCCUCAAAUCGAAAAUUGAAGGAGGAAAGAGCGAAGAGAAAUAAAUUAGGUUAGGGGAUAUUGGUCAGACGAGUGCGCAGUUUCAGAUUUCCGGACCGAUAUAUAUGCACCACGCAUUGCAGUCUGCUGGGAGAGAGCUGACGGUUGAUGAGAUCGCUGGGAACUUCUACCGCGGGCGCUACACGUGGCAGAGCUAGGUCUUCUACCGGGGUACAGUCCAGCUGCACCCGCGAGGAGUGGAGGCUUACACAUCUAGCACCUGGUAGGCCAUGGAUCCCCACUCUGAUCUCUAGUUUUGGCGGUCACAUUGCCCAUCACCUCCGGAGCUCGGUUUGGACCUGAGGAGUGGAGACUUACUACGUGACACGUAGAUUUGAACUUCUCCCACCAUGACGGAUCCCUUGCAUUCUGCCGUCUAGGAGGUCUGCCUUUCGGAACAUCAGAUGUCUUCGGAUCAUGAAUCCCCUCAGCCUCGGAUGUAGCUGGAACUGGAGGAGUCUCGUGUAUGAUCGAACUGCUACUUCUCCUAAACUCUCGACUUCCUCAACAGUUUCACGCCAAACGUUGCGGUCAGCACCGACAACUUCGCACUCAGCACGAUGGCGGGACCGCGGGGGAGUGGGGGGGGGGGGGGGGGGGGGUUGGGGAUAUUGUCCAGCUGGGUUUACAUAUCGUCCAACGUAGCUCAAACGCGAUGUAGGUGUCUUAUAUACAACAAAGUGUCCUCUAUACACCACCACUAAACUUCACAUCUGCAAGGCAACCCGUUAGUAGUUCGCAACACACACGAACAUUAACUUAGUAGUUUGCAUUCUUCAUGCAGUAACUGAAUCGCCCAUAAGUUGACUUCCGUGUUCAACUUCCCGUACAGUUUCUCCCAAAUCAUAAAUGACUGUAAUUAAAUAAGUGUAAAUCGAUAAACACGGUCCGAGAAAGUCAUAAACUAAUACAGAAAGUAAGCUACGUACCUUCAUUCGUGA